RNAcentral lists this ribosomal RNA (441 nucleotides) under uncultured bacterium. RNAcentral describes it as "partial 16S ribosomal RNA". It matches the Rfam family "Bacterial small subunit ribosomal RNA", at positions 338 to 795 of the family's 1533-position model. The record is from RNAcentral.
CCUACGGGAGGCAGCAGUGGGGAAUAUUGCACAAUGGGGGAAACCCUGAUGCAGCAACGCCGCGUGAGUGAAGAAGUAUUUCGGUAUGUAAAGCUCUAUCAGCAGGGAAGAAGAAGGACGGUACCUGACUAAGAAGCCCCGGCUAACUACGUGCCAGCAGCCGCGGUAAUACGUAGGGGGCAAGCGUUAGCCGGAUUUACUGGGUGUAAAGGGAGCGUGGACGGCUGUGAAAGUCUGAAGUGAAAGCCCGUGGCUCAACCGCGGAACUGCUUUGGAAACUGUAUAGCUGGAGUACAGGAGAGGCAAGCGGAAUUCCUGGUGUAGCGGUGAAAUGCGUAGAUAUUAGGAGGAACACCAGUGGCGAAGGCGGCCUACUGGACAGAAACUGACGUUGAGGCUCGAAAGCGUGGGGAGCAAACAGGAUUAGAUACCCCUGUAGUC